GUGGUGCUGAGUACUACAGAAUUACUAAUGGCUUGGUGAGCUCCCCUUCACUUCUUAGUGACUAGUUUGCCACAUUAAUGUUGGCGUUACACAACUCAAACAUACUCUUAAUAUGGUGUGACAUAUUCUGCUUUUGGCAAAGCUCCUAUUGUUUUCUUCGAAAGGCCUCGUACCCAUUGGCAGACCUAUGCUAUACAAAGAGGGGUCACCAGCACCCGUAAAGUUCGGCAAAAAUUCAAUAUAUACAUGUAUAUGUAUUUAGAAAAAAGUAAUAUAUUAGUGGUGGAUACCAUAUAUACAAAGCAGAUUUUGAUUGAAUCCAAAAAUGCACCCACAACCUUCAUAUCCCGGGUCCACCUCUGAAUCAUACCCACUAAAAGUAGCCAUACACCUUAUAUGUAGCUUCCUUUUCCUUUCAGCAACCAAUGUGAGACGUUGGUCGCAACCUAACAAUAUCAUAUACCGAUAAUUAAUUAGACUGUUGAUCUAAUAAAUUGUAUUGACAUGUAGGAUUUGGAGGACAAACUACAUCCAGGUGGUCCAUUUGAUCCACUAGGCUUGGCAAAGGACCCAGACCAGGCAGCAAUAUUGAAAGUAAAAGAAAUCAAGAAUGGAAGACUAGCCAUGUUUGCUAUGCUUGGUUUCUUCAUCCAAGCCUAUGUGACAGGACAAGGUCCAGUCGAGAAUUUGGCUGCCCAUUUGAGCGACCCCUUUGGCAACAACUUGCUCACUGUCAUUGGUGGAACUGCUGAAAGAGUCCCCACUCUGUAAUUUUACAAUUCGGGGGAAAAGGACCAGUUGAGAAUUUGGCUGCUCAUUUGAGUGAUCCUUUUGGCAACAACUUGCUCACUGUCAUUGCUGGAACUGCUGAAAGAGCCCCCACUCUGUAAUUUUAUAAUUCGGCAAUAUGCUAUACAUUUUGAUGCACUUGAUCAGAGCUGUAUUAUGUGAAAAAUUAAACCAGCUUGUAGUUCAAGACAAACUGUACUUAAUUUCAUAGAGCUCCACUACUGGCCACAUUCGUACUUUUGUCCGUGCAUAUCUUAAAUCAUGCUUUUCACAAGUUCGGUAUGCUAAAGGGUAACGAAGGAACACUAGUUCUAUUGGCUCUAAGCCCGCAUUCUUCCUAGCAACCGAGUC
Molecule: long non-coding RNA, 1140 nt
Filed under: Nicotiana benthamiana
Lineage: Eukaryota; Viridiplantae; Streptophyta; Magnoliopsida; Solanales; Solanaceae
Description: long non-coding RNA (NBEN_LNC008280)
Source: RNAcentral